UAUCGGGAAUACUGGGCGUAAGCGCACGCAGGCGGUUAGUUAAGCUAGAUGUGAAAGCCCUGGGCUCAACCUGGGAUGGUCAUUUAGAACUGGCUAACUAGAGUAUUGGAGAGGGGAGUGGAAUUCCAGGUGUAGCGGUGAAAUGCGUAGAUAUCUGGAGGAACACCGGUGGCGAAGGCGGCUCUCUGGCCAAGUACUGACGCUCAUGUGCGAAAGUGUGGGUAGCGAACAGGAUUAGAUACCCUGGUAGUCCACACCGUAAACGAUGUCUAUUAGCUGUGUGUGAAUUUAAUUUGUGCGUAGCGCAGCCAACGCGAUAAAUAGACCGCCUGGGGAGUACGGCCGCAAGGUUAAAACUCAAAUGAAUUGACGGGGGCCCGCACAAGCGGUGGAGCAUGUGGUUUAAUUCGAUGCAACGCGAAGAACCUUACCUACACUUGACAUGCCGAGAAUUUACCAAAGAUGGUUUAGUGCCUUCGGGAGCUCGGACACAGGUGCUGCAUGGCUGUCGUCAGCUCGUGUCGUGAGAUGUUGGGUUAAGUCCCGCAACGAGCGCAACCCUUGUCCUUAUUUGCCAGCAUUGAGUUGGGG
Molecule: ribosomal RNA, 591 nt
Filed under: uncultured bacterium
Lineage: Bacteria
Description: bacterial SSU rRNA
Rfam family: Bacterial small subunit ribosomal RNA
Source: RNAcentral